RNAcentral lists this ribosomal RNA (468 nucleotides) under uncultured bacterium. RNAcentral describes it as "partial 16S ribosomal RNA". It matches the Rfam family "Bacterial small subunit ribosomal RNA", at positions 28 to 507 of the family's 1533-position model. The record is from RNAcentral.
GACGAACGCUGGCGGCGUGCUUAACACAUGCAAGUCGAACGGAAAGGCCCUGCUUUUGUUGGGUGCUCGAGUGGCGAACGGGUGAGUAACACGUGAGUAACCUGCCCUUGACUUUGGGAUAACUUCAGGAAACUGGGGCUAAUAUCGGAUAGGAGCUCCUGCUGCAUGGUGGUGGUUGGAAAGAUUCGGCGGUUGUGGAUGGACUCGCGGCUUAUCAGCUUGUUGGUGGGGUAGUUGCUUACCAAGGCUUUGACGGGUAGCCGGCCUGAGAGGGUGACCGGCCACAUUGGGACUGCGAUACGGCGCAGACUCCUACGGUAGGCAGCAGUGGGGAAUAUUGCACAAUGGGCGGAAGCCUGAUGUAGCAAUGCCGCGUGCGGGAUGACGGCCUUCGGGUUGUAAACCGCUUUCGCCUGUGACGAAGCGUGAGUGACGGUAAUGGGUAAAGAAGCAACGGCUAACUACGUG